GUGGGUAGUUUGACUGGGGCGGUCUCCUCCUAAAGAGUAACGGAGGAGCACGAAGGUUGGCUAAUCCUGGUCGGACAUCAGGAGGUUAGUGCAAUGGCAUAAGCCAGCUUGACUGCGAGCGUGACGGCGCGAGCAGGUGCGAAAGCAGGUCAUAGUGAUCCGGUGGUUCUGAAUGGAAGGGCCAUCGCUCAACGGAUAAAAGGUACUCCGGGGAUAACAGGCUGAUACCGCCCAAGAGUUCAUAUCGACGGCGGUGUUUGGCACCUCGAUGUCGGCUCAUCACAUCCUGGGGCUGAAGUAGGUCCCAAGGGUAUGGCUGUUCGCCAUUUAAAGUGGUACGCGAGCUGGGUUUAGAACGUCGUGAGACAGUUCGGUCCCUAUCUGCCGUGGGCGCUGGAGAACUGAGGGGGGCUGCUCCUAGUACGAGAGGACCGGAGUGGACGCAUCACUGGUGUUCGGGUUGUCAUGCCAAUGGCACUGCCCGGUAGCUAAAUGCGGAAGAGAUAAGUGCUGAAAGCAUCUAAGCACGAAACUUGCCCCGAGAUGAGUUCUCCCUGAGACUUUAGGUCUCCUGAAGGAACGUUGAAGACGA
Molecule: ribosomal RNA, 592 nt
Filed under: Salmonella enterica subsp. enterica serovar Muenchen
Lineage: Bacteria; Pseudomonadati; Pseudomonadota; Gammaproteobacteria; Enterobacterales; Enterobacteriaceae
Also listed under: 4 other names
Description: partial 23S ribosomal RNA
Rfam family: Bacterial large subunit ribosomal RNA
Source: RNAcentral